Molecule: ribosomal RNA, 266 nt
Filed under: uncultured bacterium
Lineage: Bacteria
Description: partial 16S ribosomal RNA
Rfam family: Bacterial small subunit ribosomal RNA
Source: RNAcentral
GUCCACGCCCUAAACGAUGUCAACUGGUUGUUGGUGGGGUUAAACCCAUUAGUAACGAAGCUAACGCGUGAAGUUGACCGCCUGGGGAGUACGGCCGCAAGGUUAAAACUCAAAGGAAUUGACGGGUACCCGCACAAGCGGUGGAUGAUGUGGAUUAAUUCGAUGCAACGCGAAGAACCUUACCUACCCUUGACAUGCCAGGGAGCCGGACGAGAGUUCGGUGUGCCCGAAAGGGAGCCUGGACACAGGUGCUGCAUGGCUGUCGU